RNAcentral lists this ribosomal RNA (253 nucleotides) under uncultured bacterium. RNAcentral's name for it is "partial 16S ribosomal RNA". It matches the Rfam family "Bacterial small subunit ribosomal RNA", at positions 524 to 776 of the family's 1533-position model. The record is from RNAcentral.
UACGGAGGGUGCAAGCGUUAUCCGGAUUCACUGGGUUUAAAGGGUGCGUAGGUGGGCAAGUAAGUCAGUGGUGAAAUCUCCGGGCUUAACCCGGAAACUGCCAUUGAUACUAUUUGUCUUGAAUACUGUGGAGGUCAGCGGAAUAUGUCAUGUAGCGGUGAAAUGCUUAGAUAUGACAUAGAACACCAAUUGCGAAGGCAGCUGGCUACACGAAUAUUGACACUGAGGCACGAAAGCGUGGGGAUCAAACAGG